RNAcentral lists this ribosomal RNA (497 nucleotides) under uncultured bacterium. Its description in RNAcentral is "partial 16S ribosomal RNA". It matches the Rfam family "Bacterial small subunit ribosomal RNA", at positions 28 to 507 of the family's 1533-position model. The record is from RNAcentral.
GACGAAUGCUGGCGGCGUGCCUAAUACAUGCAAGUUGAGCGCUGAAGGUUGGUACUUGUACCGACUGGAUGAGCAGCGAACGGGUGAGUAACGCGUGGGGAAUCUGCCUUUGAGCGGGGGACAACAUUUGGAAACGAAUGCUAAUACCGCAUAAAAACUUUAAACACAAGUUUUAAGUUUGAAAGAUGCAAUUGCAUCACUCAAAGAUGAUCCCGCGUUGUAUUAGCUAGUUGGUGAGGUAAAGGCUCACCAAGGCGAUGAUACAUAGCCGACCUGAGAGGGUGAUCGGCCACAUUGGGACGGAGACACGGCCCAAACUCCUACGGGAGGCAGCAGUAGGGAAUCUUCGGGAAUGGACGAAAGUCUGACCGAGCAACGCCGCGUGAGGGAAGAAGGUUGUCGGAUCGUAAAACUCUGUUGGUAGAGAAGAACGUUGGUGAGAGUGGAAAGCUCAUCAAGUGACGGUAACUACCCAGAAAGGGACGGCUAACUACGUG